GUGCGUAGGUGGUUCGUUAAGUCAGAUGUGAAAGCCCUGGGCUCAACCUGGGAACUGCAUUUGAAACUGGCGGACUAGAGUUUAGUAGAGGGGAGUGGAAUUUCAGGUGUAGCGGUGAAAUGCGUAGAUAUCUGAAGGAACACCAGUGGCGAAGGCGACUCCCUGGACUAGAACUGACGCUGAGGUACGAAAGCGUGGGUAGCAAACAGGAUUAGAUACCCUGGUAGUCCACGCCGUAAACGAUGUCGACUAGCCGUUGGUCCUAUUUACAGGAUUAGUGGCGCAGCUAACGCAUUAAGUCGACCGCCUGGGGAGUACGGCCGCAAGGUUAAAACUCAAAUGAAUUGACGGGGGCCCGCACAAGCGGUGGAACAUGUGGUUCAAUUCGACGCUACGCGAAGAACCUCACCAGGGUUUGACAUAUAGGUAGUAGGAACCUGAAAAGGGGACGACUCGUUAAGCCGAGUGCCUAUACAGGUGUUGCAUGGCUGUCGUCAGCUCGUGCCGUGAGGUGUUGGGUUAAGUCCCGCAACGAGCGCAACCCUCAUCCUUAGUUGCAAACGAGGGGUCCGAAAGGAUCCUGGCGAGCACUCUAGGGGGACUGCCCGUGAUAAACGGGAGGAAGGUGGGGAUGACGUCAAGUCAGUAUGGCCCUUAUAUCCUGGGCUACACACGUGUUACAAUGGGAUGUACAGAGCGUUGCCAAACCGCGAGGUGGAGCUAAUCGCAAAAAACAUCCCUCAGUUCGGAUUGGAGUCUGCAACCCGACUC
RNAcentral lists this ribosomal RNA (771 nucleotides) under uncultured Methylobacter sp. RNAcentral's name for it is "partial 16S ribosomal RNA". It matches the Rfam family "Bacterial small subunit ribosomal RNA", at positions 567 to 1318 of the family's 1533-position model. Lineage: Bacteria; Pseudomonadati; Pseudomonadota; Gammaproteobacteria; Methylococcales; Methylococcaceae. The record is from RNAcentral.